CAACAGUUAAAAACCGUUUUGAACAAGUCUCUAUUGGCUUCAAAGCAUUCUAGAAGCUAAAGGCCAUCUUUAGGGUUGCUGGCUAGCAGAAGGCUAACCAAGGCUCUGCUAGCAGACACUUCAAUUUAAUUCUGAGUAUAUCAUAUUUUCUACAUUGCCACUUUGCUCUCUGAACCCAUAUGGUCCAGGGCAUUAUUAAUAGUUGUAAGGAAACUUUAGAUUCAGUCUACUUUAGUUGAAUUGACUUGAGAGAUGUUCGGUCUCAACAACCCAGAUGGUGGACUUAUGGGUCCAGUUUUUUUUUUGAAGAUGGGGACAGAAAGAGGCCUUCCCAGCAGGACUCACAUUUCCAGACUCCAACCUGCUGCUCCUGUUACCUCUGCUUCUCCAGACCUUCCUGACUCCUCAAGAGAACCCAGAGAAGACCUGAAACUGCUGAAACCUGGAAAGGUCAUGAACUUCCAACUAUUUGCAGAACUUGGAUACUGUCUUCAACCUGAUCCAGAGACCCAGCACCUCAUGAAAAAUGCUGCCACCCUCUUUAUGUUAAACAUCUGUAUUGCUGACCAAUUUCAAGGUCACCAAACUGCAAUAACAUAAGGCCAAGCCUGCGAUGACUUCCUGAUGCUACUGGGGAUGAAAGGGAAAUAAUGAACCAUUACUCUGACCACAGCCAAGGCCAGGUGUUGGAACCAGUCAUGAAGAGGACCCAAGGGCAUUUAGGCUAUUUAUACCAUUCAUUGGCCAUAUAAAAUUCUUAACAUAUAGAACUAAAGCAAUGGGAGGUAAUUGUACCUAAUUUUCAGCUCAUCAUUGCCUGUGAUUGCUGUAGCAAAUGAUUUUGUGCCUCUUACAUAUCCUGGGAGUUAGAUGAGUUCUCAAGGCUCUAUGUUCCCUAAGGUCUGGGGCUGAGUCUAGAAUCUCCUACAUGAUGAUGUUUGGUCAUCACCUGGCAUGGAGGUCUCAGGGGCCGAGGGUUGGCCCCUUGACAAAUCUCUGUAAAAAUUCCAGGCUCCCCCUCAGGGUAGUCACUGCCCCUGGGAUAAUUGAAAAUCUAGUUGAUUAAAAAAAAAAAAGAAAAUCCCAGUUAAAUUCCAUUUAAAAAGGAAAAAAAAUAAAUCCAGACUUAUCUCCUAUAUUCCUCUUCCUCUAAAGUUUUAAAAACAUGUAAAAUGAGGCAGUUUUAAAGUCACAAGAAAUUUUAAUUCUCUAAUUUUUUUUCAAUAUUUUUGUUUUAAUUAACAGUUCAAAAAAGCAUAUGUAUUAGAAGAAAUUAUGUUCAUGUGUGUUCACUUUCUUGUAAAUUGUUUUGUUUUCUGCUCCAUAUGUUUUCCUCCCUUCUCCCACCUCCCCAAGCAUGCAUAGUUAAGAAAGGAUAUAUUUAUAUAUACCUAUGUAGAUAUACACAUGCAUUCCCCCCACAUCUGUACACAUUUUUCCUAUGCCUACUGAACUUUUGCUUUAAUUCUCAUCCUUAACUUUACUUACAAUUAACUCCCCCCCCAAAGGAUCCCUCCCUUUGUGUUUUCCCACCCAACAUCUGCCCAUCCCUUACACCUUAUUUCCUUACAGAUUUGGAGGCUGCUAUACCCUUCACAGUAUAUAUACAGUGUUGCUUAUUAAACUAAGAGUACAUUUUCAAAAACAUGGGCCCUUGACCCACUUAUGCCUCUAUGGCUAUUCUUCCUCUGUACCUCAUUUGUAUAACAUUCAUAUUUUUACAUCAACACUGCCAAUAUUUCUCGUGAGUGGUAUGCCCUAUCAUGAAUAUGAAUCUUAAACAUAUAAUAUACAUGUAAAUAUGUAAAUAAUUUGUCGGUGUUUAAACAGUUUUGUCCAUGUGGAAUUCCUUAAAAUGAAUCAUUGAUAUUGGCUCUUCUAUAUUUUCAAUUAACUUUUGAGUUUGGGUGAUUGAAAGUCAUGGAAAUCUGCAAGUUCACUGAAUGUCCUUUUCUUUCUAAUUCAAAAUCAUGAUUUCACUGGAUAUGGCCUUUUUGGCUGCAAGCCUAAUUCUUAUAAUUGUCAGUAGAUAAGUUUUCAGGUUUUUAAUAGGGCUGCUGAUAACUAUCUUGUUCAAUUCCAACUGUAGCUCCAGCAUAUCUGAAUUGUUUCAUUUGUUUCUGGCUAAAUUUUCUUUGAUCUGAGGGUGGGUGGGGAAGGGGGUUGAAAUUGGCACUAAUAUUCCUAUGUAUGCUCUACAAAGAACUUGAGGUCGUGAUUGGUGAAUAUUUUUUAUUUCUACUUUUCCCGCUUAUGUUACAUCACUCCAGAACAAUUUUCCUUGAAUUAUUUCUUGCAUUAUUUUGUCAAGGUUCUUAUUUUGGUCACAAUUUUCAGACAAUCCAAUUCUAGUUUCUCAAUCUGUUCUCCAAAUCCGUCUUUUUACUUAAAAGACGUUUCACAUUCUGUUCUAUUUGUUUUCAAUUUUUACAAUGUUUGUUUUAUUGAUGUCACAACUUCCCAGACUUCUCCUUGCCUCCUCAUUUCAGAAUUAUUUUUAUCUUUGAGAUUCUGUACCUCCUUUGCAAGUUGGUUACAUUUUUUUUCAUAA
Long non-coding RNA from Sarcophilus harrisii (Tasmanian devil), 2551 nucleotides. RefSeq lists it as uncharacterized. The transcript is spliced from 3 exons. The record is from RefSeq and is a predicted model, not a curated record. NCBI's taxonomy places the organism in Eukaryota, Metazoa, Chordata, Mammalia, Dasyuromorphia, Dasyuridae.